This 326-nucleotide ribosomal RNA is filed under the name uncultured Acidobacteriota bacterium. RNAcentral describes it as "bacterial SSU rRNA". It matches the Rfam family "Bacterial small subunit ribosomal RNA", at positions 1092 to 1417 of the family's 1533-position model. The record is from RNAcentral. Lineage: Bacteria; Pseudomonadati; Acidobacteriota.
ACGAGCGCAACCCUUAUUGCCAGUUGCUAACACGUUAUGGUGAGCACUCUGGCGAAACCGCCCCGGAUAACGGGGAGGAAGGUGGGGAUGACGUCAAGUCCUCAUGGCCUUUAUGUCCAGGGCUACACACGUGCUACAAUGGCCGGUACAAACCGUCGCAAACCCGCGAGGGGGAGCUAAUCGGAAAAAGCUGGCCUCAGUUCGGAUUGUAGUCUGCAACUCGACUACAUGAAGCUGGAAUCGCUAGUAAUCGCGGAUCAGCACGCCGCGGUGAAUACGUUCCCGGGCCUUGUACACACCGCCCGUCACAUCACGAAAGUGGGUGG